Tachysurus fulvidraco (yellow catfish) is the source of this 442-nucleotide long non-coding RNA. RefSeq lists it as uncharacterized. The record is from RefSeq and is a predicted model, not a curated record. The transcript has 4 exons. NCBI's taxonomy places the organism in Eukaryota, Metazoa, Chordata, Actinopteri, Siluriformes, Bagridae.
AGUUUUAGUCACUUCCUUAUUGGCUUCACGAGAAAGAGUGCGUGGUUGCCGCUCGUUUUGAACUGAAGACGCCGUCGUGUCCCUUUUCUAUUCCGGGCUGAAUGGAGCAGGUUAUCAGAGGGCGAGGCUAACCAUCCUAUUCAGUGUCAGGCUAAGAGUGAGGAGAAAUAGAUUAGCCAUGUGCCACUGCUGUGGACGUCAAUACUGCAGAACUCCCCGCCACCCCCUGCUUGAUCAUUCAAGUUGACAUGAUGAAGCCCUCUGAAUGGCUUAUAUCCAUCGACGGACAUGUCAUGAUGGGCCCACACCCUUUCUUUUUACACGGAGUAGCUGCAUUCUUCAGCAGCUACUAUGUAUUCAACCUUGAGGAUCCUGCCGCUGGAUCUUCGACGCUGGAGUUCAUUCAAAGGUAUUUUAUUUGGCACACAGGAAGCAAGCUGCA